GCCUUCGUGGUGUAAUGUUCAGCACACUGAGCCAGUAUUUCAGAGGUCCGCGGUUCGAUCCCCGGCGAAGGCA
Molecule: transfer RNA, 73 nt
Filed under: Stegodyphus mimosarum
Lineage: Eukaryota; Metazoa; Arthropoda; Arachnida; Araneae; Eresidae
Rfam family: tRNA
About the family: Transfer RNA (tRNA) molecules are approximately 80 nucleotides in length. Their secondary structure includes four short double-helical elements and three loops (D, anti-codon, and T loops). Further hydrogen bonds mediate the characteristic L-shaped molecular structure. tRNAs have two regions of fundamental functional importance: the anti-codon, which is responsible for specific mRNA codon recognition, and the 3' end, to which the tRNAs corresponding amino acid is attached (by aminoacyl-tRNA synthetases). tRNAs cope with the degeneracy of the genetic code in two manners: having more than one tRNA (with a specific anti-codon) for a particular amino acid; and 'wobble' base-pairing, i.e. permitting non-standard base-pairing at the 3rd anti-codon position.
Source: Rfam by way of RNAcentral